UAGGGAAUCUUCCACAAUGGACGAAAGUCUGAUGGAGCAACGCCGCGUGAGUGAAGAAGGGUUUCGGCUCGUAAAACUCUGUUGUUAAGGAAGAACAUAUCUGAGAGUAACUGUUCAGGUAUUGACGGUAUUUAACCGGAAAGCCACGGCUAACUACGUGCCAG
RNAcentral lists this ribosomal RNA (164 nucleotides) under uncultured bacterium. RNAcentral describes it as "partial 16S rRNA". It matches the Rfam family "Bacterial small subunit ribosomal RNA", at positions 355 to 511 of the family's 1533-position model. The record is from RNAcentral.